RNAcentral lists this long non-coding RNA (1027 nucleotides) under Homo sapiens (human). Its description in RNAcentral is "novel transcript". Lineage: Eukaryota; Metazoa; Chordata; Mammalia; Primates; Hominidae. The record is from RNAcentral.
UUUUCUUAUGCUUAUUAGCCAUUUUCUGUUCAUAUGCUUCACGUUGCCAUAAUCUUAAUAUAAUUUGUUCAUAAGGAGUUUUAGUCAAAGCUCCUACCAACUUACCAAUGAACUUUCAAAACGUAUCUCAUUUGAAAGUUAGAAGCUAAUUAUACUAGUUAUAUGUUGGGAUGAAAGUAGAGAAGCCUAGUACCAAAUCUGCUGUCAGAACCUUAUACAAAGUUGGAAGUGUUCUGUACCAUCAAAUAUGGUAGUCCCUAGCCACACGUGACUAUUGAGCACUGAAAUUGUGGCCACUGUGACUGAGGAACUGAAUUUUUAAAUUUUAUUCCAUUUUAGUUCAUAUAAACUUUAUUUUUCAGAGCCAUGUGUGGCCAGUGGUUACCAUAUUAGACAGCACAGCUCCAAGCAAUUUAUCUAUUUCAGGAAAUGGGAGAGCCUGGGCUUCAUUCCUGGCCUACUAAAUCCAUAAGCAAGAGGAAAAAACAACACAAUCAAGGGACAAACUACAUCGUGUGAGGCCAGCUCAGGCUGCUACUACUCUGUCAUCCUAAGAGAAGAAUCUCUGAAAUUUUGACAGCAUGUGGAAAUAUUCCCACUGAUUAUUGGAUUAUGAAGAUGGAGAAGAGUAUUUUAAAGGAGUUUUGUAGGAGCUGCAGGAGAGGAUUCAGGUAUAUUUAUAUUCAUAGUAUAUGUGUAAUGCUUUGUUCCUGCUCCUUCAUUACUUCUAUUAAGAAGAGACAAGGAGAGAGACAUGGAAAUGACUAAGGCACCAAAGGAAAGGCAUUUUUUACAUUUCAAAGUCACAGGUAAAAAACAUUUAUCAUUUUCAUGUGGAAACAUUCUUCCAAGCUGUAACUAAUAAUGGUCUCUCCUACUAUUUCCUCCCACUUCUGCAGCUGCUAAAACACCUUUGCCACCAGCUCCGACAAUCAAACCAUGCCUUUGGAUUUCUUCAGUUUCUAAAGGGGAACAUCUUUUUAAAGCCUUUGUUGUAUUAAUUAAGAAUCCAGGGCCAAGCCCGUGG